CAAAAGGGCUUUUGCCGUCAAUGGUACGUCGGUCUGGAGACGGAUCGGCGCGGAAUCGCCAUCAAGAGAUUUCGGAAGCAUAAUGUUUGGAAACUUGUGGCAGUUGGUCGCCAUUCGCGCCGACGCCCAA
This 130-nucleotide small nuclear RNA is filed under the name Dendronephthya gigantea. Its description in RNAcentral is "U11 spliceosomal RNA". It matches the Rfam family "U11 spliceosomal RNA". The record is from RNAcentral. Lineage: Eukaryota; Metazoa; Cnidaria; Anthozoa; Malacalcyonacea; Nephtheidae.